Long non-coding RNA from Talpa occidentalis (Iberian mole), 292 nucleotides. RefSeq lists it as uncharacterized. NCBI's taxonomy places the organism in Eukaryota, Metazoa, Chordata, Mammalia, Eulipotyphla, Talpidae. The transcript is spliced from 3 exons. The record is from RefSeq and is a predicted model, not a curated record.
CUGAGCUCGUGCGCAGGAGCAGCGUCUGGGACGACCCCGACACGCCAGCCCAGCACUCGAGCCUGUGAGGUCCAUGUCUGCAAGGGACAGACCGUGUCAGUGACGCAGCAGCUUCUCAGGGACCCGGGGUUCACCCCUGAGACCCCGCCAUCUGCAGACUCUGGAGCAUCCCCUGUGUGAGAACAGAAAUACACGGCUGUGUCCUCGGGCCUCAGGCUGCUCAUUUGCAGAUACAGCGAGUUCUUGGCGUUGUCUCUGGAGACGGUGAAUCGGCCCUUCACGGAGUCUGCGU